UACGUAGGGUGCAAGCGUUAAUCGGAAUUACUGGGCGUAAAGCGCGCGCAGGCGGUCUUCCAAGUCAGUGGUGAAAGCCCGGAGCUCAACUCCGGAACUGCCAUUGAAACUGUGAGACUUGAGGAUGAGAGAGGUGAGUGGAAUUCCCAGUGUAGAGGUGAAAUUCGUAGAUAUUGGGAAGAACACCGGUGGCGAAGGCGGCUCACUGGCUCAUUUCUGACGCUCAGGCGCGACAGCGUGGGGAUCAAACAGG
RNAcentral lists this ribosomal RNA (253 nucleotides) under uncultured bacterium. Its description in RNAcentral is "partial 16S ribosomal RNA". It matches the Rfam family "Bacterial small subunit ribosomal RNA", at positions 524 to 776 of the family's 1533-position model. The record is from RNAcentral.